UGGGGAAUUUUGGACAAUGGGCGCAAGCCUGAUCCAGCCAUGCCGCGUGCGGGAAGAAGGCCUUCGGGUUGUAAACCGCUUUUGUCAGGGAAGAAAUCUUCUGAGUUAAUACCUCGGGAGGAUGACGGUACCUGAAGAAUAAGCACCGGCUAACUACGUGCCAGCAGCCGCGGUAAUACGUAGGGUGCAAGCGUUAAUCGGAAUUACUGGGCGUAAAGCGUGCGCAGGCGGUUUUGUAAGACAGAGGUGAAAUCCCCGGGCUCAACCUGGGAACUGCCUUUGUGACUGCAAGGCUUGAGUGCGGCAGAGGGGGAUGGAAUUCCGCGUGUAGCAGUGAAAUGCGUAGAUAUGCGGAGGAACACCGAUGGCGAAGGCAAUCCCCUGGGCCUGCACUGACGCUCAUGCACGAAAGCGUGGGGAGCAAAACAGGAUUAGAUACCCUGGUAGUCCACGCCCUAAACGAUGUCAACUGGUUGUUGGGAAGGUUCCUUCUCAGUAACGUAGCUAACGCGUGAAGUUGACCGCCUGGGGAGUACGGCCGCAAGGUUGAAACUCAAAUGAAUUGACGGGGG
Molecule: ribosomal RNA, 572 nt
Filed under: uncultured bacterium
Lineage: Bacteria
Description: partial 16S ribosomal RNA
Rfam family: Bacterial small subunit ribosomal RNA
Source: RNAcentral